Molecule: ribosomal RNA, 280 nt
Filed under: uncultured bacterium
Lineage: Bacteria
Description: partial 16S ribosomal RNA
Rfam family: Bacterial small subunit ribosomal RNA
Source: RNAcentral
CCUACGGGUGGCAGCAGUGAGGAAUAUUGCGCAAUGGGGGAAACCCUGACGCAGCAACGCCGCGUGGGUGAAGAAGGCCUUCGGGUCGUAAAGCCCUUUCGGACGGGACGAACGCUCCGCGGUGACAACCCGCGGAGCCUGACGGUACCGUAAGAAGAAGCACCGGCUAACUCCGUGCCAGCAGCCGCGGUAAUACGGAGGGUGCAAGCGUUGUUCGGAAUUACUGGGCGUAAAGCGCGUGUAGGCGGCCUUGCAAGCCAGACGUGAAAGCCCUCGGCUU